UACGGAGGGUGCAAGCGUUGCUCGGAAUUAUUGGGCGUAAAGGGUAUGUAGGUGGUCUCAUUUGUCUGGGGUGAAAGCCUUGAGCUUAACUCAAGAAGUGCCUCAGAAACGGUGAGACUAGAGUCUUGGAGAGGGUCGUGGAAUUCCCGGUGUAGCGGUGAAAUGCGUAGAUAUUCGGAAGAACACCGGUGGCGAAGGCGACCUUCUGGGCCGUUUCUGACGCUGAGGUACGAAAGCGUGGGGAACAAACAGG
RNAcentral lists this ribosomal RNA (253 nucleotides) under uncultured bacterium. Its description in RNAcentral is "partial 16S ribosomal RNA". It matches the Rfam family "Bacterial small subunit ribosomal RNA", at positions 524 to 776 of the family's 1533-position model. The record is from RNAcentral.